UCCUAUAGCUCAGAUGGUAGAGAAUCUGCCUGUAUUGCAGGAGACCCAGGUUCGAUCCCUGGGUCAGGAA
RNAcentral lists this transfer RNA (70 nucleotides) under Ovis aries (sheep). It matches the Rfam family "tRNA". From Rfam's summary of the family: Transfer RNA (tRNA) molecules are approximately 80 nucleotides in length. Lineage: Eukaryota; Metazoa; Chordata; Mammalia; Artiodactyla; Bovidae. The record is from Rfam by way of RNAcentral.